ACAAUGGUCGAAACAGUAUAUACUAUAAUAACCCUCUUAUAGACCCCUUACUAACCCUAAAUGUCUUAAAAUUUACCCCGUAUACGAGAAACGGGCCUAAACUACCCUUAUAUUAACAAAAAUCAAAUAAAAAUCAGUAACCGAAGCUCUCGCGGGGCGCGACCCAUCUCUUUGGGCCUGUCGCGGGCCACGACAACGUGUCAUCACCAGACGACACCAUGAUCUGCCACGUGUCCCUUACGUGUUGAAGCAAGAUAGGUGAGUCGUCAAGGCUAGGGCUUACCCUACUAGCCUCACGGGCCGCGAGAGAGGAACAAGGGGGAUUCGCGGGUUGCGAGCCGCCCUUCGAUCAGCCCUAUAAAUAAAGGCUUCGGCCUCAUUUGUCAAACGUUCAAUUCUUUUCUUUUUCUCUGAUCACUAGUAGGAUAAAACUCUCGGGAAUAAUACCUCUAUAAAGCGAAGCUCUGCCUUGUUGUAAGUAUUAUAACCCUAAUUGUUAUUCUACACGGUCGAUCUAGGGCUCCGUAACGCAUGUCAAGGCUCUGCCUGACUCAGUCGUUGGAGUUCUGUCUCGUGUUACACCCGAUUGAUCUAGGACUCCGUAAUGCAUGUCAAGGCUCUGCCUGACUCAGUCAUUGGAGUUCUGUCUCGAGUUAUAGUAACUAGGAGAAUUAUCAAGAAGCUAUAGUAGUAUCACCUAGAUCAGCAAAGUAACUUAAUGUGAAGCUAAUAGAAGACAGCUGGAGAGCAUUGAAGGCUUAAAGUUGUGGCUAUAAAAGUUACCAAAUAAAGAAACAGAGUUUUUGUUUUCAAUAAUUAGGGUUUAUCCCUACAAAUGUAUUGUCAAAUGAACUUGGGUUUUAUCCAAUUUAUUAUUAUAAAAGUUUUGUGU
This 892-nucleotide long non-coding RNA is filed under the name Helianthus annuus (common sunflower). RNAcentral describes it as "hypothetical non coding rna". The record is from RNAcentral. Lineage: Eukaryota; Viridiplantae; Streptophyta; Magnoliopsida; Asterales; Asteraceae.